Molecule: ribosomal RNA, 663 nt
Filed under: Cortinarius laetus
Lineage: Eukaryota; Fungi; Basidiomycota; Agaricomycetes; Agaricales; Cortinariaceae
Description: eukaryotic LSU rRNA
Rfam family: 5.8S ribosomal RNA (bases 264-417)
Source: RNAcentral
AGGUGAACCUGCGGAAGGAUCAUUAUUGAAAUAAACCUGAUGGGUUGUUGCUGGUUCUCUAGGGAGCAUGUGCACACUUGUCAUCUUUAUAUCUCCACCUGUGCACCUUUUGUAGAUCUGGAUAGCUUUCUGAAUGCCUAGCAUUUGGGUUUAAAGAUUGACUUUUCUAGUCUUUCUUUAUUUUUCAGGUCUAUGUUUCUUCAUAUACCCCAAUGUAUGUUAUAGAAUGUAAUGAAUGGGCCUUUGUGCCUAUAAACCUAUACAACUUUCAGCAACGGAUCUCUUGGUUCUCGCAUCGAUGAAGAACGCAGCGAAAUGCGAUAAGUAAUGUGAAUUGCAGAAUUCAGUGAAUCAUCGAAUCUUUGAACGCACCUUGCGCUCCUUGGUAUUCCGAGGAGCAUGCCUGUUUGAGUGUCAUUAAUAUAUCAACCUCUUCAGCUUUGUUUGUUGAGUGUUGGAUGUGGGGGUAUUCUUUUUGUUGGUCUCUCUUUGAGGUCAGCUCCCCUAAAAUAUAUUAGCGGGACAAUUUGUUGACCGUUCAUUGGUGUGAUAACUAUCUACGCUAUUAACGUGAAACAGGUUCAGCUUCUAAUGGUCCAUUGACUUGGACAAAUCUUUCAUUAAUGUGACCUCAAAUCAGGUAGGACUACCCGCUGAACUUAA